Long non-coding RNA from Alexandromys fortis (reed vole), 669 nucleotides. RefSeq lists it as uncharacterized. NCBI's taxonomy places the organism in Eukaryota, Metazoa, Chordata, Mammalia, Rodentia, Cricetidae. The record is from RefSeq and is a predicted model, not a curated record. The transcript is spliced from 5 exons.
CUGGGAAAGGUGUAGCAGUAGUUAACCUUGCGUGACCCUGGUCCAUGACUCACUCACUGGACUCCCAGGCUGGCCCUGAUUCCUCGUGGAUGGAUGGCCAGCGCGGACACGGAAACAACACAGGCCUGAAAGGAGGACUGAAGUGAGGUGACAGGAAGCCGCUGGAAAAAAGAGCCAGCCACCGAGCGAUCUGGUGAGGAAAUCAGAAACCCGCACCUGCCAGUCCAGGAAUGGGUCCAACACGCCCAGGGCCUGACACCUGACUUCCCAGGACCAACUCAUAGCUGUCUGGUGAGGAAAAUGCCUCAAAGUUUAGCUGAUUCGACUGGAAGCCAAAGGCUGGAGUGGAAACCUGCUGCGUCAGAGAGGCUGAGGAGCAACCAGCUGACCCUCUCUCUGCCGGCAUCUCUGAAAGAGACCAUCCUUCCACUCCGCCAAAACAGAAGGAUCCACACUGCACUAAGUCUCUCCCUACUACUUCCGGAGACAUCUGCUGUUGGCUUCCUCUGACUCAGCCUGAACGCCACUCUAGUAAAUACACAUCCGUUCUACCAGGCCUGUACCUCUGGCGAACCCAACUAAACACGAUGCUACAUUGAAAGCAAGAGGAAUGAUUUUUUAAUAUCAAUUAAGGACCCAACCACUAGUCAAGUACCUAAUUGGCUCUGU